Long non-coding RNA from Gasterosteus aculeatus aculeatus (three-spined stickleback), 299 nucleotides. The record is from Ensembl. NCBI's taxonomy places the organism in Eukaryota, Metazoa, Chordata, Actinopteri, Perciformes, Gasterosteidae.
CUGUCUCUGUACUGUCUCAGUACUGUCUCUGUCUCAGUACUGUCUCAGUACUGUCUCUGUCUCUGUACUGUCUCAGUACUGUCUCUGUCUCUGUCUCAGUACUGUCUCAGUACUGUCUCUGUCUCAGUACUGUCUCUGUCUCAGUACUGUCUCUGUCUAAGUACUGUCUCAGUACUGUCUCAGUACGGUCUCUGUCUAAGUACGGUCUCUGUCUCAGUACUGUCUCAGUACUGUCUCUGUCUAAGUACUGUCUCAGUACUGUCUCUGUCUCAUCUCUGUCUCUGUACUGUCUCUGUCUC